AACUACCCUACAGACCGCGAUAACCUCGGGAAACUGAGGCCAAUAGCGGAUAUCACUCUCAGACUGGAGUGUCGAGAGUGAGAAACGUUCCGGCGCUGUAAGAUGUGGCUGCGGCCGAUUAGGUAGAUGGUGGGGUAACGGCCCACCAUGCCGAUAAUCGGUACAGGUUGUGAGAGCAAGAGCCUGGAGACGGUAUCUGAGACAAGAUACCGGGCCCUACGGGGCGCAGCAGGCGCGAAACCUUUACACUGCACGACAGUGCGAUAGGGGGACUCCGAGUGUGAGGGCAUAUAGCCCUCGCUUUUCUGUACCGUAAGGUGGUACAGGAACAAGGACUGGGCAAGACCGGUGCCAGCCGCCGCGGUAAUACCGGCAGUCCAAGUGAUGGCCGAUAUUAUUGGGCCUAAAGCGUCCGUAGCUUGCUGUGUAAGUCCAUUGGGAAAUCGACCAGCUCAACUGGUCGGCGUCCGGUGGAAACUACACAGCUUGGGGCCGAGAGACUCAACGGGUACGUCCGGGUAGGAGUGAAAUCCUGUAAUCCUGGACGGACCACCAAUGGGGAAACCACGUUGAGAGACCGGACCCGACAGUGAGGGACGAAAGCCAGGGUCUCGAACCGGAUUAGAUACCCGGGUAGUCCUGGCUGUAAACAAUGCUCGCUAGGUAUGUCACGCGCCAUGAGCACGUGAUGUGCCGUAGUGAAGACGAUAAGCGAGCCGCCUGG
Molecule: ribosomal RNA, 724 nt
Filed under: Haloarcula sp.
Lineage: Archaea; Methanobacteriati; Methanobacteriota; Halobacteria; Halobacteriales; Haloarculaceae
Description: bacterial SSU rRNA
Rfam family: Archaeal small subunit ribosomal RNA
Source: RNAcentral